Molecule: ribosomal RNA, 301 nt
Filed under: uncultured bacterium
Lineage: Bacteria
Description: partial 16S ribosomal RNA
Rfam family: Bacterial small subunit ribosomal RNA
Source: RNAcentral
CAGUAGCCGCGGUAAUACGGAGGGUGCAAGCGUUAAUCGGAAUUACUGGGCGUAAAGCGCACGCAGGCGGUCUGACAAGUCAGAUGUGAAAUCCCCGGGCUUAACCUGGGAACUGCAUUUGAAACUGUCAGGCUGGAGUCUUGUAGAGGGGGGUGGAAUUCCAGGUGUAGCGGUGAAAUGCGUAGAGAUCUGGAGGAAUACCGGUGGCGAAGGCGGCCACCUGGACAAAGACUGACGCUCAGGUGCGAAAGCGUGGGGAGCAAACAGGAUUAGAUACCCCGGUAGUCCCUGUCUCUUAUAC